This is a long non-coding RNA of Lemur catta (Ring-tailed lemur), 369 nucleotides long. RefSeq lists it as uncharacterized. The transcript is spliced from 3 exons. Lineage: Eukaryota; Metazoa; Chordata; Mammalia; Primates; Lemuridae. The record is from RefSeq and is a predicted model, not a curated record.
ACGAGAUUGAAGAAAGAGCAACACAGGAUGUUGUAGAAAAAAUAAAAGAAGUCAAUCUAUUUUUGCAGUCACAAGCGGCAUCUGAAGAAUACAUAGAACAGUUAAAAGAGGAUCAUGUGGCUUCAAUAAGAAGUCAGACAGAAGUGACAAUUAAAAAUCUGGAAUCUGAAAUCUCCAACAUGAAAUUUUCUCAAGGAGAAGUGGAAAAGUAUAACCCCCUGUAUCAAGGAGAAUGAAAAGCUAGGAAAUAUUUGUUGAAGAAAGCAAAAAAUUUUCGCAGAACUCCUGAGCGACUAGCAGCGUCCAGUCGCAAUCUUGUUGAGGAGACACAGGGGACUGGAACUUGCUUUCCCACUCGAGCUAUGAAGA